Molecule: ribosomal RNA, 1365 nt
Filed under: Triticum aestivum (bread wheat)
Lineage: Eukaryota; Viridiplantae; Streptophyta; Magnoliopsida; Poales; Poaceae
Description: partial small subunit ribosomal RNA
Source: RNAcentral
AUGGGCGAUGCCGGCCAGUCCCAUCAUCACCACGGGCUCCAGACGCAGCUCCUGUCUUUCGGAGGCGCCGGGAGCCACCACCAUCACAUGCAUCAAUUCACGGCGCAGGCGCAGGCGCCCGCGGCAUCCCAGACGCGGGCGCGAGGAGGACGAGGCGGCGAGAUGGUGCCGGCGACGCCUGCGCGGGUGAGGGGCGGCGGAGGCGGGGAGAUCGUGGCAGUGCAGGGAGGGCACAUUGUGCGCUCCACGGGGCGGAAAGACCGGCACAGCAAGGUCUGCACGGCGCGCGGGCCUCGCGACCGGCGCGUCCGGCUGUCGGCACACACGGCCAUCCAGUUCUACGACGUGCAAGACCGGCUGGGCUACGACCGCCCCAGCAAGGCCGUCGAUUGGCUCAUCAAGAACGCCAAGGACGCCAUCGACAACCUCGACACCCUUCCGGCUUGGCAGCCCACGGCCGUCGCCCCUGCCUCCAGCAAUGCCGCCGCGCCGCCGUCCUCCUCGACCCAGCCUGACUCCGCCGACAACUCAGACGACCAGGCGCAGGCCAUCACCAUCGCGCACUCGUCCUUCGACUUCGCCGGCUCUGGUGGCGCUGGAGGAGCCACGGGCGGCAUCAGCUUCCUCCCGCCGUCGCUCGACUCGGACUCCAUCGCGGACACGAUCAAGUCGUUCUUCCCCAUGGGCGGGACCGCAGGCGGGGAGCCGUCGUCGUCCACUGUGGCUGCGCACUCGUCGGCCAUGGGUUUUCAAGGCUACACACCGGACCUCCUGUCGCGAACCGGCAGCCAGAGCCAAGAACUCCGGCUGUCGCUGCAGCCUUUACCAGACCCCAUGUUUCACCACCACCACCACCAGCAGGAGCAGCACCGGCCGGAUGGCCACGACGGCAACGGCACCGCCCAGCAGACACUAUUCCCCGGCGCGGCCAGUUACUCAUUUGGCGGCGGCGGCGCCAUGUGGGCCGAGCAGGCGGCGAGCCAGCGCAUGAUGCCGUGGAACGUGCCCGACCCAGGCGGCGGGAGCACUGGCGGCUACUUGUUCAACGUGUCGCAGCAGGCGGCGCAUAUGCAAGCGGCGCUGAGUGGCCAGAGCCAGUUCUUCUUCCAGAGGGGUCCCCUUCAGUCCAGUAACCAGCCCUCCGACCGAGGAUGGCCGGAGACCGUCGAAGCUGACGACAACAACCCGAUGCAGCAGCAGCAGCAGCACCAAGGGGGCUUGAACCCUUCCGUGUCGGCAAUCGGGUUCGGUCCCGGCGUCAGCUUCUCCGGAUUCCGCGUCCCCGCGAGGAUGCAGGGCAACGAGGAGCACAACGGCGGCAAUGGCGACAAGCCGCCGUCCGUCUCCUCGGCUUCCCACCACUGA